GGGGUUUAAGAAGGAAGCUUGCUUUCAUUUUAAACCUAGUGGCGGACGGGUGAGUAACGCGUGAGGAACCUGCCCUUCAGUGGGGAACAACAACUGGAAACGGUUGCUAAUACCGCAUAAUGUCGGAUUGCCGCAUGACGAACCGACCAAAGGAUUUAUUCGCUGAAGGAUGGCCUCGCGUCCGAUUAGGCAGUUGGUGAGGUAACGGCCCACCAAACCUACGAUCGGUAGCCGAACUGAGAGGUUGAUCGGCCACAUUGGGACUGAGACACGGCCCAGACUCCUACGGGAGGCAGCAGUGGGGAAUAUUGGGCAAUGGGCGAAAGCCUGACCCAGCAACGCCGCGUGAAGGAUGACGGUCUUCGGAUUGUAAACUUCUUUAAUUGGGGAAGAACAAAAUGACCUACCCAAAGAAUAAGUCACGGCUAACUACGUGCCAGCAGCCGCGGUAAUACGUAGGUGACAAGCGUUAUCCGGAUUUACUGGGCGUAAAGGGCGUGUAGGCGGUCUUGCAAGUCAGAAGUGAAAUUCCUGGGCUCAACUCGGGCGCUGCUUCUGAAACUGCAGGACUUGAGUGCUGGAGGGGAUAGCGGAAUUCCUAGUGGAGCGGUAAAAUGCGCAGAUAUUAGGAAGAACACCGGUGGCGAAGGCGGCUAUCUGGACAGUAACUGACGCUGA
Molecule: ribosomal RNA, 678 nt
Filed under: uncultured rumen bacterium
Lineage: Bacteria
Description: bacterial SSU rRNA
Rfam family: Bacterial small subunit ribosomal RNA
Source: RNAcentral